CCUCUGUCUGUCUCCUCUUUAAAAUGGAGCUGAGGCCCUCCUGUGCUCAUCAGUGGCUGCAGGAAUGGAUUCUUCUUUCCUUUUAAUAAGAUGGUGGUAUUUGCAUGAUGACGAUGGACCAAAGGCACAGCUGCCACAUCAUCAUGAGCCAGGCAGUGCCCUUUGCUGCUACAAAAGAUGUCACCCUCCUGAUUGAAGCUUAAGAGGAAGAAGUUAUUGGGAACCCCUGUGCUAUGCACUGUUGCCUCAGGACAAUAAAGGUUUAGUGCCCAUUUCCUAAGUGAUCAUUAUCAUUUACAUCAUGGUGUUAGAUAAAAGUAAGUAUUAUAACUAGUAUUUAUCUUUGUCUGUAGCUGCUGCUUUCCCAGACCUGAGGAAAGAUAUUUUGUGCCCAAAACCUUGUCUAACAUCACUCCCAACUAUAAAGUUGGUUUAAUAAAAGAUAUUGCCUCGCCUCACAAAUCCUGCUUCUCGUAUCAUACCCAUUCACAGAAAUCUGCCAUUCACAGGAAAAAUGUAAUCAAAUAAUUUUCAUCAGAGUUUAUCCUAGCAUGUUCCCAGGUUCAGCUCCAGUCAGAGCUCAAUGACUUUCAGGGUGCCUUGAGAAUCUCCCACAGAUUUCUACCCAUAUCCAAGAUUGGCCUAUUUGUACUACACACACUGUCUGACAAUAUGUGAUUUAAAGUAAAUCACUGGAUAAAGAAAGAUCUGCAUGACAUGGAAUCAAAAAUUAUAUUUCCUGAGACCUUAAUACAGACAAAAUCUUUGGUGUUUUUUUAUAAAAUAAUUUCUCCUCCCUUCAA
This is a long non-coding RNA of Alligator mississippiensis (American alligator), 803 nucleotides long. RefSeq lists it as uncharacterized. The record is from RefSeq and is a predicted model, not a curated record. Lineage: Eukaryota; Metazoa; Chordata; Crocodylia; Alligatoridae. The transcript has 3 exons.